UUGCUAAACCUACUACUGGAAGGUGGUAGGUUAGCAUUGUACCCAUCUUUUGAUUUCCUUAAAUGCCCUCACAUUUUUUUCCAACUCAUUAAAAACCAGGGACAUUAUUGUCAUUAUAUUAAAAAAGCAAUUCAUUCCUUCUACCCUUAUCUCAUAGCUUGAGUAUCAACUACUUCUAAUGCCCCAACCGAUGCCAUGGCCGUUUGGAUACUUCCAUUUUUAGCUUAAAUUUAUUUUCAUUUGGUGAUUAGAUUACGGUGUAAAUGCUUUUAAAUUUGAUUUUUUUUUUCCAGUUAGGUUUGAGUGUGGCGGAUGAAUGGAUAAGAAGAGUUUCAGAAUUCUUCUGUUCAAUUUGAGAUGAAAAGAUGCAAAUGUACGAAAUUCUCAUAAAUGAAAGUUAAGCUUUUUUCACUUGCACUUUUUUAACUAGUAGCAAAAACAAAAAUUUCCGAACACAAUUUAGUCUUUGAAUCUAAUCGAAAUGGGUCUUCGGUUAUAAUCAAUUACAAAUCACAAUUUGACUAGAAUAACUCUGAAUUCAAUUAGUUGAUUCGGUUCGAUGUGAAUUCUGUUUGAUUUUACAUGAACGAGAAAGAAGGGCGAGGAGAGGAUAAUGAGAAUGAUAGGGAGGAAAAUUGAGAAUAAUGAUAGAACAAGACCCAUUUCCCUCUGCCUGAAUUUUGAUUUUAUUUGUUGUUGCAUCUCAUAUGCACACAUGUAUAAACUAUAAAUGAUACAAAUAUGUUUCAAAUACAUAUGUGUUUAUGAAUUUGUGGGGGGUAAGACAGGAUUUUGAGGACGAAAUGGGCUAUUUGAAUGUUUAUUAUGGGAUGAAAUUGAUUAUUUAUUUGUUUUCUUUCAAGUGUGGAGAUCUUCUUUCUUUUGCACAUAACAUAUUUGAUGAAAGUCCUGUUCAGACUCUCAAAAGAAACCAACUUCUUCAUCGCUUCCAAUUUCUACUUUGCUUCAACUCUAGCCACACUAGAAAUAGAGUAAAUCAAUCAUCAAACAUUAAUCAACAAUUUAUGUUUCAAUGCCAUUUGAAAAUAGAGAAUAAAUCAACAGUCCACAGAUCAAACCAAGUUCAGUUAGUCGACGACGUUUGUAUUCUAUGUUUGCAACGGAAAUUCUAAUGCCACACAGAUUCCCAUUACUCCUAUCAAUCACGAUCUUUAUCAUACCAGUGUUCUGUUUUUAGAUGGUGGCUGUGAGGCGGUGAAGAAGGAGAGGCAACAAAGGGGCUGACAAUAAUGGCUUAAAAACUGUGGAGUUUUGUGGUCGUUGUUCAAUGGAGGAGGGACAACUGGGUUAUUUUGGUGAAGAUGAUGAAUAAGUGGCUGAAUUUCGAUGUUCAUUGUAGCAUAUGUGUGAGAAAAAGAAGAUCCGAAAUGGUGAAUUGUUCUCCAACAAAAAAAUUAAUGAAGAAUGCCUGAAAUUUUCACCCACAAGUGUGGUUGUUUUGGGCUCACAUAUGCUUAUGAGGAGGAUUUAUAGAAACAUCAAACUAUAAUGUCUCAAAUCUGCUUAUGAGGAGGAUUUAUAGGACCCUGCUAUCCAUUUGCUUAAUAACUGACAGUAACACCACAAAAAAAACUCAUGAACUAUGUAUCUUAGUGGGAAUUCAAUGGGUUUAUUUAUAGUAGCUACCUAUGCUUGGGUUCCGGAGAGCCUGCAAAUUUUCUCCCCAUUCUUUGGUCUGUAAAAAGAUCUCCUGUAGAUGAUCUCCAUUCUUCGAUAGUAACAUUAUUAAUAUAAUGUUGCUAACAAUCUCUCUCCAGUUCACUCUCUUUUAUUUAGUUUUUUUUUCAGUGUGUUUUUGGAUGGUAUAAAUUAGCUUUUAUCUGGAGGAAAGAAUAGUUGUAUGCUUCAUUAGAAUAUUUUUCCGAUUUCGUUUCUAUUAACAGUAAGGUUUGCAUCAUGCGAAAAGUGAGUUCUCUAGAUUUUUUUAACUCGAAAGGUGCUUAAGCACGCUCCUUUGCAAUACUGUUUUUUCUUUAUUUUCUAUUUUCUUACGAAAAUAUAAUAGUGUAUGAUUCAUUAGGAUAUUUUCCGAUUUCGUCUCUAUUAACAUUAAGGUCUGCAUCAUGCGAAAAGUGAGGUCUCUGGAUUUUUUGAAUUCUCAAUGUGCUUAAGCACUCUCCCUUGCAAUACUCUUUUUUCUGUAUUUUCUAUUUUCUUAUGAAAAUAUUACCAGUAAUGCACUUUGUUGCCUCCCUUCUCUCUUCAGAUCACCUCUUUUUGAAUUUGCCAUGUUUUCUUGACACCUCUUUUAUUGCUGCAUUAUAGGAUGCACUUUAGAUUUCACUAUGGGAAAAUUUCAAUUUUUUUCAUUCAGUAGUGUUAAAUUUGCAUUUUGUCAUUGUCCAAAUCUCUUGAAAAUGGAUGUAAAGGAGACCUUUAAUUAGUACUGACAAACUAAAGGUCCUAUCAAUAUAAUAUCAACAUUAAAUUCAUAAGUUCUUAAUGCUUGCUCAUUAUUUUCCUGCUUAUUGGUGGUGGUUUCUACUACUAAGUUACAAAAGAUUUAUUUUACCCAAACUCCUAAUAGUUGCUCUUCAAAAAGAACAUAUGAAUUGCCUUGCUAUACCUCUUUUCACCUUUUUUGUGUGUUAGAAUUGAGCUGAUCUUGAACCAGACAAAUGUUCUUCAUUAUCGAGCCAUUUGCAUGUUUAUUUCUUCUGUCAUAGAAAAUAUUUUCUCCUUCGUUGCUACCUGUGAUUCUUAUGUUGUAGAUAGUGAUUGGUUUCAUUUUCAUCUUAUGAUUGUGUUGCGUAUUCUUUGUAGGAUAAAAAAAACUAUUAUCCUCUUGUACUGAUAGGAUACAAAUAAGUACAGCAAGUAUCCGGAAGUGGAGUAUUCUGUUAAAGAAUCACUUUAACAACCUUUAAUUUAUUUUCACGUAUAAGAAGAGUAUUAAUAAUUGACUUAUAAAGAGAAAAUAAAUGAUCUCAGUCACUUAACAAAAGCUAAAAGAAUUCUUCAUCGGCCAUUAAACAUGGAUACGGUUGUUCGUUUCAACCUUCCUUUUUCAGUGUUAUCUUCUGAUGAAGAUAUAAUUUACUUGUGAUGAAUGAAAGAUCAUGUACUAAUUUUUUUUUAGUUUAACUGCUUAUUUGAUUUUUGUGAUAGCAUUUUGCAAUUGAUUAUAUUUUUACUUAGAUGUGCAAAUAUCGUUGUACACCAAAAUAAAAUUUUCCAAUUUUUACGCCAAAAUUAUCGACUUCCCUGUUAAAUUGAUUAUGUCUUUGACUUACAUAUGUGCAUAUGGGGAACG
Molecule: long non-coding RNA, 3274 nt
Organism: Lycium barbarum (goji berry)
Lineage: Eukaryota; Viridiplantae; Streptophyta; Magnoliopsida; Solanales; Solanaceae
Exons: 3
Source: RefSeq, a predicted model, not a curated record